RNAcentral lists this ribosomal RNA (442 nucleotides) under uncultured bacterium. RNAcentral's name for it is "bacterial SSU rRNA". It matches the Rfam family "Bacterial small subunit ribosomal RNA", at positions 958 to 1399 of the family's 1533-position model. The record is from RNAcentral.
AACGCGAAGAACCUUACCAAGGCUUGACAUCCCUCUGAAGUGCCUAGAGAUAGGUAUGCCUUUAGGGGCAGAGGAGACAGGUAGUGCAUGGUUGUCGUCAGCUCGUGUCGUGAGAUGUUGGGUUAAGUCCCGCAACGAGCGCAACCCUUGUCUUUAGUAACCAACAGGUAGAGCUGGGAACACUAGAGAGACUGCCGUGGAUAACACGGAGGAAGGUGGGGACGACGUCAAAUCAUCAUGCUCCUUAUGUCUUGGGCUACACACGUGCUACAAUGGCUGGAACAAAGUGAAGCAAAUGCGCGAGCACAAGCAAAUCACAAAAAGCCAGUCACAGUUCGGAUUGUAGUCUGCAACUCGACUAUAUGAAGUUGGAAUCGCUAGUAAUCGUAAAUCAGCAUGUUACGGUGAAUACGUUCCCGGGCCUUGUACACACCGACUGUAC